AGGCAGAGUGAAGACAACCAUCUACAAGCCAAGGAGAGAAGCCUCCGAAGAUAUCGACCCUGCUGAAACCUUGAUCUUAGGCUCUAGCCUCUAGAACUUUGAGAAUGUAAGUUUCUGUUGCUAAGCCACCCAGUCUGUGGUCCUUUGUUAUGGCAGCCCUGAGAAAACAUAAUGUAUACCCUUAGGCUAUGUCUAAUUUCCCAGAGGAAUGACCCAGGAAGUCUUAGAACCUGCCAAGGAAGGGUAUGCAGAGUUUUGCAGUGCCUUUUACAUGCUGUGUAAAUCCAAUGCCCAUGCCACAUUCCUUUUCCUUGAUAUAAAGGCAACUUGAAGAUGGUAUACUAUUGAUAAGGGGUCACACGUACCCUCCACUGAUUUCUCUAUGUAGCCAUCCAAUGAACAGUCACUACACAAGAACUCCAUUGGCUCUGUUGGAUGACAUGCUAAGAACAGGAUGGACACCAAAGAGUAAAGCUCAACAGAUCCAGAUCUAAAGUAGCAAACAAGCCAGGGGUAGAGACUUCAAAUCCUAAACAGUAAGGCAAGGGUUCCACAGACAUAAAAUAUCACAAACAUAAGUCUUUAGAAGCAACUUUUGAUUCUGUACCAAGAAAAUGACAUGGA
RNAcentral lists this long non-coding RNA (624 nucleotides) under Rhinopithecus bieti (black snub-nosed monkey). Its description in RNAcentral is "lncRNA (ENSRBIG00000046640.1)". The record is from RNAcentral. Lineage: Eukaryota; Metazoa; Chordata; Mammalia; Primates; Cercopithecidae.